UAUGACGCGCUGAAAGCCUGUCACGGAUGACGCUGGAACACCAGUGCACUAAAGUAAUAUGCACUACCAUACAGAACACAACUUCCCCCCUGACAGCCCUUAGGUUAGGGUUAAUACCCCUCGAGAGUAACUCAAAUGGACCAAAGAUAAGGCCUCCUGACAAGAUACUCUCACGACUAACCGCCUGACACCACAGACCACUUGGUAACAACACAGAUAGACUUAGCACUCUGAAUUCAAAAAAAUGGUUUAAGCCUUAUGCAUAAUAAGUCUGGAAUACACAGUUCACAACCUGGACAGGGUGGCUUAUGUGAUUUGGAGAGGUCAGCUAGCUCGCAACUUUCCUGUCCCAUCACUACCCAUAUGCAAACAAAAUUGUACUCAUGGGAUUGCUCGGAGUGGAAUAGGUGAUUGGCUGACUAUUUUCCAAAUUGAGGCCGCCAAAUUCGGUUAGAAUGUCUUAGGUAUCGAUCUCCAUGCAGGUGUCCACCUGGACGGUCAAUCUGAACUGACAGCAUUAGCCAACUUAGCUCCAGAUGCAUAGUUUAAUUCAAGUAUGUGAGAUACACUGGACACGUACACCUAAGAUAAAAGGCGACUGGGCAGUGUGCAUUUUAAAGCAAAGCCUGUCUGAAGUUUAGACAGGCACUAUCCUAUCGAUCAGCCAGGGCCGAUAACACUCAGACGUAAGUUUAUACAUAACAGGAAUCUCGCAUGGUGGCCAUUACGCACACUAGCCCUUGCCCCCUAACCUGAAGGUCUCCUUCUGAACAUAAUCUCUCACACGCCCGUUGGUACAGUACUAGACUAUUAACCACCCUGCUCA
Pelobates cultripes (western spadefoot toad) is the source of this 826-nucleotide non-coding RNA. The record is from the annotation of a GenBank genome assembly. Lineage: Eukaryota; Metazoa; Chordata; Amphibia; Anura; Pelobatidae.